RNAcentral lists this ribosomal RNA (464 nucleotides) under uncultured Klebsiella sp. Its description in RNAcentral is "bacterial SSU rRNA". It matches the Rfam family "Bacterial small subunit ribosomal RNA", at positions 339 to 795 of the family's 1533-position model. The record is from RNAcentral. Lineage: Bacteria; Pseudomonadati; Pseudomonadota; Gammaproteobacteria; Enterobacterales; Enterobacteriaceae.
CUACGGGUGGCUGCAGUGGGGCAUAUUGCACAAUGGGCGCAAGCCUGAUGCAGCCAUGCCGCGUGUGUGAAGAAGGCCUUCGGGUUGUAAAGCACUUUCAGCGGGGAGGAAGGCGUUAAGGUUAAUAACCUUGGCGAUUGACGUUACCCGCAGAAGAAGCACCGGCUAACUCCGUGCCAGCAGCCGCGGUAAUACGGAGGGUGCAAGCGUUAAUCGGAAUUACUGGGCGUAAAGCGCACGCAGGCGGUCUGUCAAGUCGGAUGUGAAAUCCCCGGGCUCAACCUGGGAACUGCAUUCGAAACUGGCAGGCUAGAGUCUUGUAGAGGGGGGUAGAAUUCCAGGUGUAGCGGUGAAAUGCGUAGAGAUCUGGAGGAAUACCGGUGGCGAAGGCGGCCCCCUGGACAAAGACUGACGCUCAGGUGCGAAAGCGUGGGGAGCAAACAGGAUUAGAUACCCCGGUAGUC